This 112-nucleotide ribosomal RNA is filed under the name Mammaliicoccus vitulinus. RNAcentral's name for it is "Staphylococcus vitulinus partial 16S ribosomal RNA". It matches the Rfam family "Bacterial small subunit ribosomal RNA", at positions 1433 to 1533 of the family's 1533-position model. Lineage: Bacteria; Bacillati; Bacillota; Bacilli; Caryophanales; Staphylococcaceae. The record is from RNAcentral.
GAGUAACCUUUUAUUAGGAGCUAGCCGUCGAAGGUGGGACAGAUGAUUGGGGUGAAGUCGUAACAAGGUAGCCGUAUCGGAAGGUGCGGCUGGAUCACCUCCUUUCUAAGGA